CCUACGGGGGGCUGCAGUGGGGAAUAUUGGACAAUGGGGGCAACCCUGAUCCAGCCAUGCCGCGUGUGUGAAGAAGGCCCUCGGGUUGUAAAGCACUUUCAGUGAGGAAGAACGCCUGGUGGUUAAUACCCAUCAGGAAAGACAUCACUCACAGAAGAAGCACCGGUUAACUCCGUGCCAGCAGCCGCGGUAAUACGGAGGGUGCGAGCGUUAAUCGGAAUUACUGGGCGUAAAGCGCGCAUAGGUGGCUUGAUAAGCCGGUUGUGAAAGCCCCGGGCUCAACCUGGGAACGGCAUCCGGAACUGUCAAGCUAGAGUGCAGGAGAGGAAGGUAGAAUUCCCGGUGUAGCGGUGAAAUGCGUAGAGAUCGGGAGGAAUACCAGUGGCGAAGGCGGCCUUCUGGACUGACACUGACACUGAGGUGCGAAAGCGUGGGUAGCAAACAGGAUUAGAUACCCUGGUAGUC
RNAcentral lists this ribosomal RNA (465 nucleotides) under Vreelandella stevensii. Its description in RNAcentral is "partial 16S ribosomal RNA". It matches the Rfam family "Bacterial small subunit ribosomal RNA", at positions 338 to 795 of the family's 1533-position model. The record is from RNAcentral. Lineage: Bacteria; Pseudomonadati; Pseudomonadota; Gammaproteobacteria; Oceanospirillales; Halomonadaceae.